This 383-nucleotide ribosomal RNA is filed under the name uncultured eukaryote. RNAcentral describes it as "partial 18S ribosomal RNA". It matches the Rfam family "Eukaryotic small subunit ribosomal RNA", at positions 592 to 977 of the family's 1831-position model. The record is from RNAcentral.
UGUAAGCGUAUACCAAAGUUGUUGCAGUUAAAACGCUCGUAGUCGGAAUUUGGCAGUUCCGGAUGUGUGCACGUCGUGUGCGCACUUCGCGGGGAUUGCUUUUGUGGUCUUGCGUAGGAUGAGGCACUUUUAUUAGUGAACGUCCUCACGCAACCACUUUUUACUGUGAGAAAAUCAGAGUGCUCAAAGCAGGCAUUUGCCGUGAAUGUAUUAGCAUGGAAUAAUAGAAUAGGACUUGGUUCUAUUUUGUUGGUUUGUUGGGACUGAGUAAUGAUUAAGAGGGACAGUUGGGGGCAUUUGUAUUUCGGUGCUAGAGGUGAAAUUCUUAGAUUACCGAAAGACAAACUGCUGCGAAAGCGUCUGCCAAGGAUGUUUUCAUUGAC